GACGCGGAGGAGGAUGAGGAGGGAGGCGGAAGGUCCCCUCGCAGACUCCCUCGCUCUCUCCCUCCCUCCAAGGUCAAAAACAUGGCUGUCUGGAGAAUGGGAUGCUUGCCAGAACAUCAAUCUGUGCUGGGUGCCAUACUGGUUAUCCUUCCAGUGGUGGAAUACAACUUGGGUCUCCUCAGGAGGUGACUGGUGUGGAACAAACUGUACCAGACAUCGAUGGUGUGAAGACCUGAUGUCUUCGUUGUUUGGAUACGUGUGUAAGUUAACGAGCUACUGGGAGAAGACGAAGAAGCUUUUGCAGAAACAUGAGGAUAUUGUGGGAAAUGCUGCUGCUGACCAUUUGGAUUAUAUUGCUGCCUGACACACAGGUUCUGCAGAUAACAUAAGGAACUCUCCAGAUCUUUUUUGUUGUGUGAUUGCUGAAGCAUUUUCCUGGCACAGCAGUAAUGAUUGAUGAACACACUUCAGAAUGAAGCAACUGUCUCAGAGUGGCAUUGAUCUGUCAUAAGAAGCCAUCUGAUACUACAGCAUCAAAGAAAGCUGCUCUUUCUUGCCAGUUUAUGCCUGCAGAACAGGACAGGCUGUUUUCUCUAAAUCUCAGCCACCAAACUUUGGACCAACUUGUCCUUGCAUCAGCGUUCUUGUCAAGCGUCAUCCUUCUGACCAGCUAUGGAGUGAGUCACGAGCUUCCUAACUUGUGUCAAACAUAAACGUCUGAAAAGUUUGGAGCCUGCUUUUGGAGAAAAAUCUUGGAUUCUGCAACCAACUGUGCCUCCAGAUACAUGGAAGAUGACUAAAACAGAACUGCCUUCAACAGGCACAGUGAACAUCAGUUUCAGAAGUUAAAAAAAAGUCUUAUCUUUAAAGCUAGUCUUGCUCAUCUUAAUGGAAACAAGUAGCUUUGGUACUGGCAGCAGGUAGUGACUCCCACUGAAAAUACAACACAUGGGAGUGCAAGAGGUGUUAGGUGAGCUAAGUAAUCAAAACUGCUUGGAAGACAAGUAACAUGCUUCUUGUGAUUUCUGGCAUUGAAAUUUCUAGUUUAGGUUUGUUCUCUUUCAUGGUGACUGUGGGAUUGUACUUUCAGUUAAAUUCCUGUAAAGUUUUUGAAAGAUAAACAUUUAUUUCCAUCACAGAUACUGAAGAGAGGACUCCAUUAUUGGGAGUGCUCAGAAACGUGAUAUUUUGAAAUUUUUGGCCUGACAUGUCUCAAUUGUACACUUAGCUAUGUUUUUUCAGGGUCACAGUUAGACUUUGGUUCAUUUUGUCAGCUGUAGAAUAUUUGGAGUGGAUUACAAACAGGAACGUGGAACUAAUUUUAUCGUGUUGAUUUUAUGUUCAGUGACUUCUGCGCUGGUCUUUAAUUUGUCAUCUUCACUCUAGCUAUGGGCUCAAGUAUUCCGACAUUCAGAAUGGGCCCUGGUAUUAGAGACUUCAGUAACAAAAGUCUUUUUGUCUUUGAGCAUUUGAAAACUGACAGGCCAUCCUUUAAACUGUUCGAUCAAAUUUAACGGGGAUUGAUGGUCUUAUCUCGUUUUUUGUCAGUUUUCUACACAUUAUUAAGCAGUUUAUGGUGAUGAGUACUUCAGAAAAGUCAGUUUAACUUGUGAAAUGCCAGUCUGCUAAAAACAUCCUUUGUCACUUCCCCAGCCCCCACACCACCUCUUCUUACAGACAUGCUCUAGGAGUUAAUAAAAAACACACCAGACAGAAAACCCAGUGUAGGGAAAAAAAAAUCUCCCUGAGAGAGCUGUAGCAACUCCCACGCAAUAAAUUCACAGCUGAAUGAACACUGCUGCUGUUUUGCCUAGGCAAGGAU
Long non-coding RNA from Lagopus leucura (white-tailed ptarmigan), 1822 nucleotides. RefSeq lists it as uncharacterized. Lineage: Eukaryota; Metazoa; Chordata; Aves; Galliformes; Phasianidae. The record is from RefSeq and is a predicted model, not a curated record. The transcript has 4 exons.